Molecule: long non-coding RNA, 1453 nt
Organism: Cygnus olor (mute swan)
Lineage: Eukaryota; Metazoa; Chordata; Aves; Anseriformes; Anatidae
Exons: 2
Source: RefSeq, a predicted model, not a curated record
AUAUUAAAUUUUAAGCUUAAACUGUAACUAGCUCUUCUGGUUACAGUUAUACAGUGAUUGCAGUGCAUUGGGUAUGAUAGCUACUGAGACUGUCACAAGUAAUAUUAAUAAUGAGAUGGAGAACAAACAAAACUUGACUGAAGCUCCCACUUUUCUUUACUUCCCAAGCUUCUCCGUGUGUGACUGCACUGAUUGUUGUGGAGGUUUUUUAUUCUCCGUAUCUUUUAUAAAAAUCAGCACUGCUGUACUGCCUACAGAAAAGGAGUUGAUUUCCCAGAAAUCACUAGCCUGGUGGAAAUGGCACUUCCGUAGCGUGAUGUGAGCAGGAAGCUGAUGAAAACAAAUCUCAACAGAAGAAAAGGGGAGCAGGUGAGGUAAGAGCCUGCACAGCUAUGGCAGAUGACAGACAUUUUAGCACCAUGGGUAUCCUCACUGAAAUCUUGGGCUUCUGAGAAGGAUGACUGAUGCUUCGUUAUGAAGAGCAAGCCUGCUUUGAGCUGAGCAGCCCUACUUCAUGAGCGCACCGUGGUAAGUGACCGAUAGCUAGACUCACCUGGACCACUGUCCCCAUAGGCUCAGGUGGAAGAAUGCAAGGGAGAAGCACAGCAGCAGUACACACAGGAGUACUUGCCUGGAGUUUCUCCAGUGGUAACAGGGGUGAUGCUUCCCCUGCUAGGGUGUCAUAUUCUGAAUCAUAGAACACGAUCACCUUUUAAACUUUUAAACAAAUGCCUUUUGUUUGCAAGAACCUGCAUAGAACAGGUUAUGCAGUCUUAUACUGUGCGUUUUAACUGCCUCCUAGGGACACUCCCUCUACUGAUGCACGGUGCACCCGAGCAACAGAUCUGUUUAUGCAUGCUUCUGAAAUUUGUCUGUAGUCAUAGAUGCAGUCACCUGUUUCUAGCUCCACUUCUAGUUUGCGCCGCUCAUAGUCACAGCUUCUCGGGUCGACUUGGUCCUCUGCAGUGUGGCUUAAAAAAGCUGCAGAGGUUAAUAAGAAGCACGUGGCGGAUUCUUCCCAGGUACGGAAUAAACAGACUGCAUGGCUGAUGUCUGGGCAACGUUGCUUGUAGUUCUGCUUCCAUUCUCAUAGUACCCACCUGUUUUCAACACAGGACUGAGGUAACAAGGUAAGUACUAGGGAUCGUCAAGACUGCAGCUAUCUCCAGGAAGACAACGCCUAAGCCUUUCUCCAGUGGAAACUUACUAGCAGAACACUAGCAGUGCUACUGCUGUAAGUUAUGCUGGUGUGUAUUCCCCCUAGGGAUGUUUGUUCCAGAAUAACUAUAGCGGUCUAACUAGUCAAGAUAAGGGUGCUUUAUUUUAGGUGACAGAAAUAGGUUAAUAUAUAUUUUACAGAAAAAUGUUUUUCGUAAUAUCUUUUUUUCCAUAUAUCAUUACAUGUUCUAAAAUAUGACUUGUAACUGAAAUAAAACAUCUUAAGAUGGAUUAA